This 253-nucleotide ribosomal RNA is filed under the name uncultured bacterium. RNAcentral's name for it is "partial 16S ribosomal RNA". It matches the Rfam family "Bacterial small subunit ribosomal RNA", at positions 524 to 776 of the family's 1533-position model. The record is from RNAcentral.
UACGGAGGGUGCAAACGUUGCUCGGAAUUAUUGGGCGUAAAGCGCACGUAGGCGGUUUGCUACGUCGGAUGUGAAGGCCCCGGGCUUAACCCGGGAAGGGCAUCCGAAACUGGCAGGCUUGAGUACGGAAGAGGGUCUCGGAAUUCCCGGUGUAGAGGUGAAAUUCGUAGAUAUCGGGAGGAACACCAGUGGCGAAGGCGGAGACCUGGGCCGAUACUGACGCUGAGGUGCGAAAGCGUGGGGAGCAAACAGG